UCCACGAUAUCGAAAGAACACGUUCGCACAACUUUUACACGACAAACAGCUGAUUUCCGUUCCACUAAAAUCUAUCAGAACGAAAAUUUGCACGAAAAUCAAAGCGAACGAAAACGUAAGCAUUUCAGUGUAAUUUUGCGUUCCACUAUCUUUUUUCUUUCGUACGCAUGCGAACACAAAUGUCAAAAUCAGUCACUUGUGUGUUUGCUAUCGUAUAAUAACAAUUGAGGAAAAUUGUUUUAACAUAAACAUUGCUUGAUUGAAAAUGGAAACAAAAAUCACGAAAAAAUCAUCAACUAAACAGCUGCGGGCACUAGUUGAAUAAUGGAGGAGAAUCCUGUGUUCGCCAGAGGAAUGCCAAUUUUUGGAAGCAGCAGAAGAAGUUUUAAAUCGGGGCGGAUUUGGGUAGUUCUGCAACCGGGCACCCACUUCUCUUCCAUCAUAUCCAAAAGAGCCCGAAAACUUCCUUCGACACACGAAAGUUGGCCACAAACCUAGAAAAAAUAAUUUUUUAUUAUUUCAAAAAUGUAAAAAUACAAUCAUACUUACUGGUUGUUAGGUACUUCAAAUAAAUUCGAAGCAUCUCUUAAAUUCCUCCGUG
Musca domestica (house fly) is the source of this 601-nucleotide long non-coding RNA. RefSeq lists it as uncharacterized. The transcript is spliced from 2 exons. NCBI's taxonomy places the organism in Eukaryota, Metazoa, Arthropoda, Insecta, Diptera, Muscidae. The record is from RefSeq and is a predicted model, not a curated record.